AUAAUCGGCUAGACUUUAUAAACUUAUACUCUAAUUAAUGUUAAUUUAGAGUUAUUUUGAUAUUGAUUUUUAAUUUUAGGGUGAAAUCAGAAAUUAUUUUUAUUUAAACUCUAAAUUUUAAGAUUUAGUAAACAAACCAGAUUAGUACCUGGUUAGAUAAAAUUUAAAAGAGCAGGAGUAAAGUUAUAUUUAAACUGUAAGAAUAUUGGCAGGUUUUUAAAUUAUCUUUGGAGGCUGAGUAGUGAUUGAGAGCCCUCAUUUUCAACUUUUUCUUUAGGCGCAUGUAUGAUCGUUUAUUUUAUUCUUAAGGAUUGUAAUUUUAGUCUUUGCUAUAAAAAUAGAUAGAUAUCUGGCUUAUGAGAAAGAUUUAAUUUGGCCUACAAUAAUUUAAUUUUUGGAUUCUAGUUUUAGAGGCUAGAUGAAAUUGUAAAAGACAGUAAGUUGCUUUUAAUGGGUGGCUGAAGUUUAUUUAAAAACGGUACAAAUCAUCCAUCAAUUGCCUAUAGGGGAGUAAGUUGU
This 519-nucleotide non-coding RNA is filed under the name Anisakis pegreffii. Lineage: Eukaryota; Metazoa; Nematoda; Chromadorea; Rhabditida; Anisakidae. The record is from RNAcentral.